Molecule: ribosomal RNA, 260 nt
Filed under: uncultured bacterium
Lineage: Bacteria
Description: partial 16S ribosomal RNA
Source: RNAcentral
UCACAGGAAACAGCUAUGACCAUGAUUACGCCAAGCUUGGUACCGAGCUCGGAUCCACUAGUAACGGCCGCCAGUGUGCUGGAAUUCGGCUUAUUACCGCGGCUGCUGGCACGGAGUUAGCCGAUGCUUAUUCUUCAGGUACACGUCAUUUAUUCCUCCCUGAAAAAAGAGGUUUACAACCCAUAGGCCGUCAUCCCUCACGCGGUAUUGCUCCGUCAGGCUUUCGCCCAUUGCGGAAAAUUCGCCACUGCUGCCUCCCG